GACGAACGCUGGCGGCGUGCUUAACACAUGCAAGUCGAACGGAAAGGCCCUGCUUUUGUGGGGUGCUCGAGUGGCGAACGGGUGAGUAACACGUGAGUAACCUGCCCUUGACUGUGGGGUAACUUCAGGAAAGUGGGGCUAAUACCGGAAAGGAGCUCCUGCUGCAGGGUGGGGGUGGGAAAGUUUCGGCGGUUGGGGUUGGACUCGCGGCUUAUCAGCUUGUUGGGUGGGUAGUGGCUUACCAAGGCUUUGACGGGUAGCCGGCCUGGGAGGGUGACCGGACACGCUGGGCCUGAGAUGCGGCCCAGCCCCCUACCGGAGGCAGCGGUGGGGUAUAUUGCACAAUGGGCUGAACCCUGAUGCAGCAACGCCGCGUCCGGGAUGACGGCCUGCGGGUUGUAAUCCGCUUUCGCCUUUGACGAAGCGUUAGUGACGGUAAUGGGUAAAGAAGCACCGGCUAACUACGUG
RNAcentral lists this ribosomal RNA (468 nucleotides) under uncultured bacterium. RNAcentral describes it as "partial 16S ribosomal RNA". It matches the Rfam family "Bacterial small subunit ribosomal RNA", at positions 28 to 507 of the family's 1533-position model. The record is from RNAcentral.